GACGAACGCUGGCGGCGUGCUUAACACAUGCAAGUCGAACGGAAAGGCCCUGCUUUUGUGGGGUGCUCGAGUGGCGAACGGGUGAGUAACACGUGAGUAACCUGCCCUUGACUUUGGGAUAACUUCAGGAAACUGGGGCUAAUACCGGAUAGGAGCUCCUGCUGCAUGGUGGGGGUUGGAAAGUUUCGGCGGUUGGGGAUGGACUCGCGGCUUAUCAGCUUGUUGGUGGGGUAGUGGCUUACCAAGGCUUUGACGGGUAGCCGGCCUGAGAGGGUGACCGGCCACAUUGGGACUGUGAUACGGCCCAGACUCCUACGGGAGGCAGCAGUGGGGAAUAUUGCACAAUGGGCGGAAGCCUGAUGCAGCAACGCCGCGUGCGGGAUGAUGGCCUUCGGGUUGUAAACCGCUUUCGCCUGUGACGAAGCGUGAGUGACGGUAAUGGGUAAAGAAGCACCGGCUAACUACGUG
RNAcentral lists this ribosomal RNA (468 nucleotides) under uncultured bacterium. RNAcentral describes it as "partial 16S ribosomal RNA". It matches the Rfam family "Bacterial small subunit ribosomal RNA", at positions 28 to 507 of the family's 1533-position model. The record is from RNAcentral.